Molecule: ribosomal RNA, 1092 nt
Filed under: Paraphoma sp. B47-9
Lineage: Eukaryota; Fungi; Ascomycota; Dothideomycetes; Pleosporales; Phaeosphaeriaceae
Description: SSU rRNA
Rfam family: Eukaryotic small subunit ribosomal RNA
Source: RNAcentral
AAAGAUUAAGCCAUGCAUGUCUAAGUAUAAGCAAUUAUACCGUGAAACUGCGAAUGGCUCAUUAAAUCAGUUAUCGUUUAUUUGAUAGUACCUUACUACUUGGAUAACCGUGGUAAUUCUAGAGCUAAUACAUGCUGAAAACCCCAACUUCGGGAGGGGUGUAUUUAUUAGAUAAAAAACCAAUGCCCUUCGGGGCUUCUUGGUGAUUCAUGAUAACUUUACGGAUCGCAUGGCCUUGCGCCGGCGACGGUUCAUUCAAAUUUCUGCCCUAUCAACUUUCGAUGGUAAGGUAUUGGCUUACCAUGGUUUCAACGGGUAACGGGGAAUUAGGGUUCGAUUCCGGAGAGGGAGCCUGAGAAACGGCUACCACAUCCAAGGAAGGCAGCAGGCGCGCAAAUUACCCAAUCCCGACACGGGGAGGUAGUGACAAUAAAUACUGAUACAGGGCUCUUUUGGGUCUUGUAAUUGGAAUGAGUACAAUUUAAACCUCUUAACGAGGAACAAUUGGAGGGCAAGUCUGGUGCCAGCAGCCGCGGUAAUUCCAGCUCCAAUAGCGUAUAUUAAAGUUGUUGCAGUUAAAAAGCUCGUAGUUGAAACUUGGGUCUGGCUGGCAGGUCCGCCUCACCGCGUGUACUUGUCCGGCCGGGCCUUCCUUCUGGAGAACCUCAUGCCCUUCAUUGGGCGUGUUGGGGACCAGGACUUUUACUUUGAAAAAAUUAGAGUGUUCAAAGCAGGCCUUUGCUCGAAUACGUUAGCAUGGAAUAAUAGAAUAGGACGUGCGGUCCUAUUUUGUUGGUUUCUAGGACCGCCGUAAUGAUUAAUAGGGACAGUCGGGGGCAUCAGUAUUCAAUUGUCAGAGGUGAAAUUCUUGGAUUUAUUGAAGACUAACUACUGCGAAAGCAUUUGCCAAGGAUGUUUUCAUUAAUCAGUGAACGAAAGUUAGGGGAUCGAAGACGAUCAGAUACCGUCGUAGUCUUAACCGUAAACUAUGCCGACUAGGGAUCGGGCGAUGUUCUUUUUCUGACUCGCUCGGCACCUUACGAGAAAUCAAAGUUUUUGGGUUCUGGGGGGAGUAUGGUCGCAAGGCUGAAA